AUGAAGGGUGUAUAAUUCAUUGUCUUUUAUUUAUCCAUAUAACAGGUGGUGGCAAUGCAAGCUCCAGCAUUACUCUGCCAACAUCCUUGAUUCUUGUCCUGUAGAGAUCACUUCUAGGAUGUGUAUAUAGUUUAAUUUCAUGCCCAUUCCAUCUUUGGCCUCU
RNAcentral lists this small RNA (163 nucleotides) under Gopherus agassizii (Agassiz's desert tortoise). Its description in RNAcentral is "TUC338 (ENSGAGG00000007058.1)". Lineage: Eukaryota; Metazoa; Chordata; Testudines; Testudinidae. The record is from RNAcentral.